CACCUUUUUUAUAUUUGGGCAACCUACACAAUUUAGGUUCUCUAGCAUACGCUUUGGCUGUUCAUUUGAAAAAUGUUGUUCUACCAAGGAAGAUCCAUGAGGUGUUAUACCAACACUUGGUAUACGCGACAGUUGGUCACCAAACACUUUGGUUGUUCAUUUGGAAAAUGCUGUUCUACCAAGGAAGAUCCAUGAGGUGCUAUACCAACACUGGGUAUACGCGACAGUUGGUCAGCAGUAAAUCCCCAGUUCAAGUCAUGCAUAUUAACACAUCCAUUCAAGCUGACAUGAGUC
This 294-nucleotide long non-coding RNA is filed under the name Nicotiana benthamiana. RNAcentral describes it as "long non-coding RNA (NBEN_LNC015345)". The record is from RNAcentral. Lineage: Eukaryota; Viridiplantae; Streptophyta; Magnoliopsida; Solanales; Solanaceae.